Molecule: ribosomal RNA, 484 nt
Filed under: uncultured bacterium
Lineage: Bacteria
Description: partial 16S ribosomal RNA
Rfam family: Bacterial small subunit ribosomal RNA
Source: RNAcentral
AUUGAACGCUGGCGGCAGGCCUAACACAUGCAAGUCGAGCGGAUGAAGGGAGCUUGCUCCUGGAUUCAGCAGCGGACGGGUGAGUAAUGCCUAGGAAUCUGCCUGGUAGUGGGGGAUAACGUCCGGAAACGGGCGCUAAUACCGCAUACGUCCUGAGGGAGAAAGUGGGGGAUCUUCGGACCUCACGCUAUCAGAUGAGCCUAGGUCGGUUUAGCUAGUUGGUGGGGUAAAGGCCUACCAAGGCGACGAUCCGUAACUGGUCUGAGAGGAUGAUCAGUCACACUGGAACUGAGACACGGUCCAGACUCCUACGGGAGGCAGCAGUGGGGAAUAUUGGACAAUGGGCGAAAGCCUGAUCCAGCCAUGCCGCGUGUGUGAAGAAGGUCUUCGGAUUGUAAAGCACUUUAAGUUGGGAGGAAGGGCAGUAAGUUAAUACCUUGCUGUUUUGACGUUACCAACAGAAUAAGCACCGGCUAACUUCGUG